CUUUUACCAAAAUAACCAUAACUGUAUUUUUAUAUGCAGAGCACAACUGGACAUUGAAAAAUUGACAAUGUGUCAUUAUGAUAAUGAAUACUCGGAGGCGUAAAAGUAGUGCGGAAUAAUGUGUAUGCAGUUUUGACAGCUGAAGUAGAUGGCGCUGUACGGCCCUAUACAUUUUGUAACCCUAUUACUUUCAACCUAGUUUUUGAGUUAUCAAAACUGGGGCUAAAGUGUUGCACUAUUUUACGCGUCUUAGUAUUCGUCUUAUUCAUACAUAACCAAUGUUUCAAUUUCCUUUUUUCCGUGGUUUUGUGUUGAUAUGCAAUAAACUCUUUUCUUUUCGUUUAGAUUUUUAUUAAACAACUGAUACAUUA
Molecule: long non-coding RNA, 371 nt
Organism: Cydia splendana
Lineage: Eukaryota; Metazoa; Arthropoda; Insecta; Lepidoptera; Tortricidae
Exons: 2
Source: RefSeq, a predicted model, not a curated record